GUUAUAUUUGUGUUUUGCGCCUCUAAACGUCCAUAUUAUGUUGUAGAUCAUCUUGACAAAUCCUAAAACCUUAUAACCCUCUUUCAUCCUUACAAUACUUUAUUUUCCAUCCUAAGAACUGUCGAAUCAUCGGAGGACAAUGUCUUAUCAUCCCACGGUCAAUUACUUGACCGAUGUUGAUGUUUGAUAUUUCUCCGCUUCUUAUAACUAAAAUAUGUUUUCUUGGAUGGAUUUGGACCUGAGGACUCAGCAUGUCAAUAGCACCAAUAAUCUUGUGCCAUCUU
This is a long non-coding RNA of Arabidopsis thaliana (thale cress), 284 nucleotides long. RefSeq annotates it as other RNA. The transcript has a single exon. The record is from RefSeq. Lineage: Eukaryota; Viridiplantae; Streptophyta; Magnoliopsida; Brassicales; Brassicaceae.